Molecule: microRNA precursor, 84 nt
Filed under: Cavia porcellus (domestic guinea pig)
Lineage: Eukaryota; Metazoa; Chordata; Mammalia; Rodentia; Caviidae
Description: mir-184 microRNA precursor family
Rfam family: mir-184 microRNA precursor family
Source: Rfam by way of RNAcentral
UCAGCCAUGUCCCCUUAUCACUUUUCCAGCCCAGCUUUGUGAUUGUCAGUGUUGGACGGAGAACUGAUAAGGGUGGGUGGCUGA